Molecule: unclassified non-coding RNA, 289 nt
Filed under: Euryhelmis costaricensis
Lineage: Eukaryota; Metazoa; Platyhelminthes; Trematoda; Opisthorchiida; Heterophyidae
Description: ITS2
Source: RNAcentral
UAUAAACUAUCACGACGCCCAAAAAGUCGUGGCUUGGGUCUUGCCAGCUGGCGUGAUUUCCCUGCGCUUUCGUGCGGGGUGCCAGAUCUAUGGCUUUUCCUCAAUGUGCCGAACGCAACCAUAUCUGGGCUGACUGCUUGGAUGAGGGAGUGGCGGCGGAGUCGUGGCUCAAUGAUAAUUUACGUGGUAAUGUGCGCGCUCCGCUGUCGUUUCUUCGUCUGUGGCUGACGUUUCAGUUGUGGCAAUGCAUUCGAUGCAAACUUGUUUUGCACCAUUUGGUGCUUAACUU